CCUACGGGAGGCAGCAGUGGGGAAUAUUGCACAAUGGGCGCAAGCCUGAUGCAGCCAUGCCGCGUGUGUGAAGAAGGCCUUAGGGUUGUAAAGCACUUUCAGCGAGGAGGAAGGGUUCAGUGUUAGUAGCACUGAGCAUUGACGUUACUCGCAGAAGAAGCACCGGCUAACUCCGUGCCAGCAGCCGCGGUAAU
Molecule: ribosomal RNA, 194 nt
Filed under: uncultured bacterium
Lineage: Bacteria
Description: partial 16S ribosomal RNA
Rfam family: Bacterial small subunit ribosomal RNA
Source: RNAcentral